RNAcentral lists this ribosomal RNA (372 nucleotides) under uncultured organism. RNAcentral describes it as "partial 16S ribosomal RNA". It matches the Rfam family "Bacterial small subunit ribosomal RNA", at positions 527 to 896 of the family's 1533-position model. The record is from RNAcentral.
GUAGGUGGCAAGCGUUGUCCGGAAUUGUUGGGCGUAAAGCGCGCGCAGGCGGUUCUUUAAGUCUGAUGUGAAAGCCCACGGCUCAACCGUGGAGGGUCAUUGGAAACUGGAGAACUUGAGUACAGAAGAGGAAAGCGGAAUUCCACGUGUAGCGGUGAAAUGCGUAGAGAUGUGGAGGAACACCAGUGGCGAAGGCGGCUUUCUGGUCUGUAACUGACGCUGAGGCGCGAAAGCGUGGGGAGCAAACAGGAUUAGAUACCCUGGUAGUCCACGCCGUAAACGAUGAGUGCUAAGUGUUAGGGGGUUUCCGCCCCCCUUAGUGCUGCAGCUAACGCAUUAAGCACUCCGCCUGGGAGUACGGCCGCAAGGCUG